This 253-nucleotide ribosomal RNA is filed under the name uncultured bacterium. Its description in RNAcentral is "partial 16S ribosomal RNA". It matches the Rfam family "Bacterial small subunit ribosomal RNA", at positions 524 to 776 of the family's 1533-position model. The record is from RNAcentral.
GACGUAGGGCGCAAGCGUUGUCCGGAAUUAUUGGGCGUAAAGAGCUCGUAGGUGGUUUGUUACGUCUGCUGUGAAAACCUAGGGCUUAACCCUGGGCUUGCAGUGGAUACGGGCAGACUAGAGGUAGGUAGGGGAGAAUGGAAUUCCUGGUGUAGCGGUGAAAUGCGCAGAUAUCAGGAGGAACACCGGUGGCGAAGGCGGUUCUCUGGGCCUUACCUGACACUGAGGAGCGAAAGCGUGGGGAGCGAACAGG